AUGCCCUCAUCACGGUGUGUGAAUGUGCUUGCUUCUAAAGAGCUGCUUUGCAGUCACUCACACCUGGGGGACUUUCCACAGGGAUCCUUCUUUUCCUGGGUUCUCUGCCAGCCCUGUGCACGGGGCCACAAUCACAGGAGGGCACACUGGCUGCCAAAUUGUUUUAAUCCUGAAAUGACUGCCAGGCUCUCUAGGUGAAGGCAGGGUCCACCCAGAAAUAUCCCAUGAGCUGCUGGAUAUCAGCUGGACCACUGUGAACAGAGCUGCUUAUAUUGCCCCAUGGAUGCACACAAGAAAAGAGGCCAUCCUUCCUUCUGUGGAAAACAGAAGAAUGAUAAUUCUCCUUUUUCCUAAUAAGGAGAUUUUAGAGCAAGUUUGAGUUUAGCCAAUUUUUGUCGCACAUUGCAAUUUAAUUGUUUUCUUCUCUUAAUUAAGUUCAUCUGACAGGAUUUAGCCAGAGAACUGUAUCUAAAAGCUUUUUUUGCUGACUGUAAACACUUGUUUCUGAGAACAUUUGUCCCUAAUUUUUUUUUCCCCCCGCUCUGCUUGGAAUUGCUGAUGAGAGCUGUCACAGGUUCAGGACAGGACUUUUGGUUCAUUUAAGGAAGGCUUUGAAAUAUAUAACCAGCAAAGUUUAAAUUUGGAUAAUGGUAUUAGAACAUGCCACAAUCACUCCUCAUCCCAGUCUCCCCCCAGAAGGCACUGAAACAUAGCAGCAAGACCAGAGGUGGAUAAAAAUCUGCUGAGCUUCAGAAUAACUACCUUAGUGAACCUGAACCCAAAUUCCAUAACCUGAGAUGAUUUAUCGUUUUGCAGCAGAAUCAUCCAAGACUUGGCUUUGUGUGGUUGUAAGGGAAAAUUCCACAGCUUUGACAUGUCUCUGAUUUUGUUGUGCUUACACAGUUAAUUUUUAAAAGGCAAAACAGAUGCUACUUUGAGAAAAUCUAUGUUAAGAGAUUAAAGGAAAAUUAUGAUUGCUGACUGAAACAGAAGAAAAGGAACAGUAUAUACAAACAGUUUUUUGGACAUUUUAUUUGCUAAAAGUAUGCAACAGCUAACAUUGCUUUCCUUGUAAGAGAUACAGGAAUAAUUAUACCUUACAGCAGUAA
This 1109-nucleotide long non-coding RNA is filed under the name Phasianus colchicus (ring-necked pheasant). Its description in RNAcentral is "lncRNA (ENSPCLG00000018253.1)". Lineage: Eukaryota; Metazoa; Chordata; Aves; Galliformes; Phasianidae. The record is from RNAcentral.